UCCCAGGUGGCUCAGUGGGUAAAGAAUCUGCCUGCAAAGCAGGAGACACAGGAGAUGCAGGUUCGAUCCCUGGGUUGGGAA
Molecule: transfer RNA, 81 nt
Organism: Ovis aries (sheep)
Lineage: Eukaryota; Metazoa; Chordata; Mammalia; Artiodactyla; Bovidae
Rfam family: tRNA
About the family: Transfer RNA (tRNA) molecules are approximately 80 nucleotides in length. Their secondary structure includes four short double-helical elements and three loops (D, anti-codon, and T loops). Further hydrogen bonds mediate the characteristic L-shaped molecular structure. tRNAs have two regions of fundamental functional importance: the anti-codon, which is responsible for specific mRNA codon recognition, and the 3' end, to which the tRNAs corresponding amino acid is attached (by aminoacyl-tRNA synthetases). tRNAs cope with the degeneracy of the genetic code in two manners: having more than one tRNA (with a specific anti-codon) for a particular amino acid; and 'wobble' base-pairing, i.e. permitting non-standard base-pairing at the 3rd anti-codon position.
Source: Rfam